AGCUUUGCGCAGUGGCAGUAUCGUAGCCAAUGAGGUUUAUCCGAGACGCGAUUAUUGCUAAUUGAAAGUAGAACAGUAACUCUGUAUAAAAAAGUUAAGUAAACCAGGAAUUUUUCACAAAGGCCAAAAAAAUAGCCG
This is a small nuclear RNA of Mustela erminea (ermine), 138 nucleotides long. RefSeq annotates it as U4 spliceosomal RNA. The record is from RefSeq and is a predicted model, not a curated record. Lineage: Eukaryota; Metazoa; Chordata; Mammalia; Carnivora; Mustelidae. The transcript has a single exon.